UCAAUUGGRGGGCAAKUYKGGGGCCAGCAGCCGCGGUAAUUCCAGCUCCAAUAGGGUAUAUUAAAGUUGUUGCAGUUAAAAAGCCUUGUAGUUGGAUUUUUGUUAAUACCUUAUAUAUAAUAUUUUUUUUUUAAAUAUUAAUAUGUAAGAUUAACAAAUUCAUAUUUUUAAGACUGAAUUUUUAGUUUUGAUAAUAUGAAAUUUUACUUUGAGAAAAUUAGAGUGCUUAAAGCAGGCUUUUGCCUUGAAUACUCCAGCAUGGAAUAAUAAUAAAAGAUUUUUAUCUUUUUUUUAUUGGUUCUAAGAUAAAAAUAAUGAUUAAUAGGGACAGUUGGGGGCAUUUGUAUUUAACAGUCAGAGGUGAUAUUCUUAGAUUUGUUAAAGACAAACUAAUGCGAAAGCAUUUGCCAAGGAUGUUUUCAUUAAUCAAGAACGAAAGUUAGGGGAUCGAAGACGAUCAGAUACCGU
RNAcentral lists this ribosomal RNA (468 nucleotides) under Cryptosporidium felis. RNAcentral describes it as "partial small subunit ribosomal RNA". It matches the Rfam family "Eukaryotic small subunit ribosomal RNA", at positions 546 to 1029 of the family's 1831-position model. RNAcentral also lists the same sequence under 1 other name. The record is from RNAcentral. Lineage: Eukaryota; Apicomplexa; Conoidasida; Eucoccidiorida; Cryptosporidiidae.